RNAcentral lists this ribosomal RNA (497 nucleotides) under uncultured bacterium. RNAcentral describes it as "partial 16S ribosomal RNA". It matches the Rfam family "Bacterial small subunit ribosomal RNA", at positions 38 to 507 of the family's 1533-position model. The record is from RNAcentral.
GGGGGGGGGGGGGGGGGUGCCUGGUGCGGGCAGGUGGAGGGCGGGGGGGGGGUGCUGGUGCCAGCGGGGUGAGCGGCGGACGGGUGAGUAACGCGUGGGGAAUCUGCCUUUGAGGGGGGGACAACAUUUGGAAACGGAUGCUAAUACCGCAUGAAAACUUGAAACACAAGUUUCAAGUUUGAAAGAUGCAAUUGCAUCACUCAAAGAUGAUCUCGCCUUUUCUUAGCUAGGUUGUGAGGUAAACGCUCACCAAAGCGAUGAUACAUAGGCGACCCGAGAAGGUGAUCGGCCACAUUGGGACUGGGACACGGCCCAAACUCCUACGGGAGGCAGCAGGAGGGAAACUUCGGCAAUGGACGAAAGGCUGAACGAGCAACGCCGCGGGAGGGAAGAAGGGUCUCGGAUCGGAAAACUCUGUUGGUAGAGAAGAACGUUGGGGAGAGUGGAAAGCUCAUCAAGUGACGGUAACUACCCAGAAAGGGACGGCUAACUACGUG